GAUGAACGCUGGCGGCGUGCCUAAUACAUGCAAGUCGAGCGAACAGACGAGGAGCUUGCUCCUCUGACGUUAGCGGCGGACGGGUGAGUAACACGUGGAUAACCUACCUAUAAGACUGGGAUAACUUCGGGAAACCGGAGCUAAUACCGGAUAAUAUAUUGAACCGCAUGGUUCAAUAGUGAAAGACGGUUUUGCUGUCACUUAUAGAUGGAUCCGCGCCGCAUUAGCUAGUUGGUAAGGUAACGGCUUACCAAGGCAACGAUGCGUAGCCGACCUGAGAGGUGGAGGGGGCGGGAGGGAGCAGGCACGCGGAGCAGGCGACUACGGGACGGAGCAGUGGGGUGUGUGCGACAAUGGGCGAGGGCUUGACAGCGUAAUGGCGAGGGAGUGAAGAAUGUUGUCGGAAAGUAAAACUGUGUUAUUAGGGAAGAACAAAAAUGCAAGUGAAAACGCAGUGCCUGCAGGUACGGAAAUAGAAAGCCGAGGCUAACUCGGGG
RNAcentral lists this ribosomal RNA (497 nucleotides) under uncultured bacterium. RNAcentral's name for it is "partial 16S ribosomal RNA". It matches the Rfam family "Bacterial small subunit ribosomal RNA", at positions 28 to 507 of the family's 1533-position model. The record is from RNAcentral.